This 255-nucleotide ribosomal RNA is filed under the name uncultured bacterium. RNAcentral's name for it is "partial 16S ribosomal RNA". It matches the Rfam family "Bacterial small subunit ribosomal RNA", at positions 524 to 776 of the family's 1533-position model. The record is from RNAcentral.
UACGUAGGGGGCAAGCGUUGUCCGGAAUUAUUGGGCGUAAAGAGCUCGUAGGCGGUUUGUCGCGUCUGCUGUGAAAACUCGGGGCUUAACCCCGGGCCUGCAGUGGGUACGGGCAGACUAGAGUGCGGUAGGGGAGACUGGAAUUCCUGGUGUAGCGGUGAAAUGCGCAGAUAUCAGGAGGAACACCGGUGGCGAAGGCGGCCUGCUGGGCAGUUUGGCUGACACUGAGGCGCGACAGCGUGGGGAGCAAACAGG